This 253-nucleotide ribosomal RNA is filed under the name uncultured bacterium. Its description in RNAcentral is "partial 16S ribosomal RNA". It matches the Rfam family "Bacterial small subunit ribosomal RNA", at positions 524 to 776 of the family's 1533-position model. The record is from RNAcentral.
UACGAAGGGGGCUAGCGUUGCUCGGAAUGACUGGGCGUAAAGCGCGCGUAGGCGGCUUUGUAAGUUAGAGGUGAAAGCCCAGGGCUCAACCCUGGAAUUGCCUUUAAGACUGCAUCGCUUGAACAUCGGAGAGGUAAGUGGAAUUCCGAGUGUAGAGGUGAAAUUCGUAGAUAUUCGGAAGAACACCAGUGGCGAAGGCGACUUACUGGACGAUUGUUGACGCUGAGGUGCGAAAGCGUGGGGAGCAAACAGG